AAAGAUUUAAGAAAAUUUUGAUUUCUAUUCAUUUUGUUUUAUCUCACUCUUUCUUUUCAAAAGAAAAUAUAACAAGAUCAAAGACGCCGUUUGAGUAGUUUUUAGGUGAUCAUCAACGGAAGCCAUAAUCCUCACUUUAUACACACUCAAGCUCAUUAGUGUAAAUCACAAAUUAAUUGUUUUGUAAACAUUUUAAAUUCUUUUUCAUGAACAUUAACAAUGUAUCACUAAUUAUUUAUCAAGAUUCUAUAAAAGAUAAUCUUAGGUAAACACUCAUGGAAAUAGCAUGUCAUAAAUCAAUACAGUGGUCAAUGACCGGAAAUUUAAUUACACGUAUAUUGUCAGAUUAACUCUUCAAUCAAUUUAAAUCCCGGAGGUCAUGUUUUGACAUAUGUGUAUUAGUUCGAGAUAAAAAAUGAAUUUUGAAUGCUUUUGUUAACCUUGGGACCGUAGAUUUAGUUCGACUCAACCGAAAUUUCGACUCAUCCAAUUUCGACUCAUCAGGAGUCGAAUUACAUACUUUUGUAUGGAAUAAAGUUCGGGACCACGUGAAAACUUCGACUCAUCCGAAAUUUCGAGUCAACCGAGUUCGAGACAACGAGAGUUAACUGUAAUUAAU
RNAcentral lists this long non-coding RNA (619 nucleotides) under Mytilus galloprovincialis (Mediterranean mussel). Lineage: Eukaryota; Metazoa; Mollusca; Bivalvia; Mytilida; Mytilidae. The record is from RNAcentral.